This 520-nucleotide long non-coding RNA is filed under the name Ananas comosus (pineapple). RNAcentral's name for it is "long non-coding RNA (ACOM_LNC037970)". The record is from RNAcentral. Lineage: Eukaryota; Viridiplantae; Streptophyta; Magnoliopsida; Poales; Bromeliaceae.
UAAGAAAAAAGGGGAAAAAAAGAUGAAGAUCAUUGGAAGACGAAGAACGAACCUGCUGAAAAUGCCGCUGCCGGAGUUACAUCGGGAUAUGCGAACGGCAAAGAAUGCAUUGUCGGGAGUGUGCGAACGGCAAAGAAUGCAUUGUCGGGAGUGUGCGAACGGCAAAGUUGGAAGACCGCUGCCGGGGGAACUUUGGGCGUAGUCGCGUAGACAGAGAAAAAGAAAGAGGCGGCUGUGUGUGUGAAGCGUGAAAGGAAAAAGGAAAGAGGAAUUAGGGUUAGGAAGAGGGGAAGUUAAAAGUUGAUGGAAUAUUACCCGUUAGAUUUUAAUCCAACGGUUGAAAUUCUAAAUAUAAGUGGGCCUCUUUAUAAAUAAGUUGAGCUAAAAAUUUUAAAAAUAAUAUUUUGUAUUAUUUAUUUAUAUAUAAAUAUAAUUAUAUAUUUAUAUAUAUAAAUAUAACACAUAUAUAUAUAUUAUAUUAAUAUAAAAUAAAUGUAAUCGAACUGUUAUCGAGCCGAAC